AUUGAACGCUGGCGGCAUGCUUUACACAUGCAAGUCGAACGGUAACAGGGAGCUUGCUCCGCUGACGAGUGGCGAACGGGUGAGUAAUAUAUCGGAACGUACCCAAGAGUGGGGGAUAACGUAGCGAAAGUUACGCUAAUACCGCAUACGAUCUAUGGAUGAAAGCAGGGGACCUUCGGGCCUUGUGCUCCUGGAGCGGCCGAUAUCAGAUUAGCUGGUUGGUGAGGUAAAGGCUCACCAAGGCGACGAUCAGUAGCUGGUCUGAGAGGACGACCAGCCACACUGGAACUGAGACACGGUCCAGACUCCUACGGGAGGCAGCAGUGGGGAAUUUUGGACAAUGGGCGCAAGCCUGAUCCAGCAAUGCCGCGUGAGUGAAGAAGGCCUUCGGGUUGUAAAGCUCUUUUGUCAGGGAAGAAACGGCUGUGGCUAAUAUCCACGGCUAAUGACGGUACCUGAAGAAUAAGCACCGGCUAACUACGUGCCAGCCGCCGCAGUAA
RNAcentral lists this ribosomal RNA (500 nucleotides) under uncultured bacterium. Its description in RNAcentral is "partial 16S ribosomal RNA". It matches the Rfam family "Bacterial small subunit ribosomal RNA", at positions 30 to 523 of the family's 1533-position model. The record is from RNAcentral.